CCUUCCCUUCACCGACACAAACGUUCUGAUUCUUCCCCGCCAUUGCACUCCUCCACGAUUCUUCACGUCUCCGGUGGCCGUGGUGCUCGUGCUGUCUUGCGACACCAGGUUCUCCAUCAUCCUUCCCAUCUUUGCUUAUUUUUCAUGCUUCUACUCUGUUCUCGCGUUCACGUUCAAGUCGCCAGUGUGCGUGAGGAAUCCAAUCGCCGGAGCUGGUGGCGUGGGUUCAGUAAUCUCGUCUUCUCCUCUCCCUAUUAUGUUGGCAGUCUCUUGUUCUUUCCCUCCUCUGCUGUUAUAGGUGAUUAAGAUAGCAUAGUUGAUAAUCUACCUCUUUUUGACCUCCGAGGGGCUCAUUGCUGAAUUGAUGAGGAGACCUUUUGAGAAUGCCUUCCUUUUGAAGUAGAUAUUUAAUUAUGUGUUAUACUUUAAAAUUAUAAUUAGAUACUCUACGUUAACUAUAGAUAGAAUUAUGGUCUAUUAUCUAUUUGUCUAUCGAUUAUGGAGGAGCAGAGCUCCAUAUUUUUGAUUUAGAUUGUACAUUGAUGUUGUAAAUACUUUGGAAAGUUCUAUUUAUGAGAGGUUCUGUCAAAAUUUUUAUAAAAA
Molecule: long non-coding RNA, 603 nt
Organism: Prosopis cineraria
Lineage: Eukaryota; Viridiplantae; Streptophyta; Magnoliopsida; Fabales; Fabaceae
Exons: 3
Source: RefSeq, a predicted model, not a curated record